This 72-nucleotide transfer RNA is filed under the name Myxococcota bacterium. RNAcentral's name for it is "tRNA-Thr". It matches the Rfam family "tRNA". Rfam says of the family: Transfer RNA (tRNA) molecules are approximately 80 nucleotides in length. Their secondary structure includes four short double-helical elements and three loops (D, anti-codon, and T loops). The record is from RNAcentral. RNAcentral also lists the same sequence under 2 other names. Lineage: Bacteria; Pseudomonadati; Myxococcota.
GCUGACGUAGCUCAAUGGUAGAGCACCUGUUUUGUAAACAGGUGGUUAGGGGUUCAAGUCCCCUCGUCAGCU